Molecule: ribosomal RNA, 551 nt
Filed under: Virgibacillus dokdonensis
Lineage: Bacteria; Bacillati; Bacillota; Bacilli; Caryophanales; Bacillaceae
Description: bacterial SSU rRNA
Rfam family: Bacterial small subunit ribosomal RNA
Source: RNAcentral
GACGGGUGAGUAACACGUGGGCAACCUACCUGUAAGACUGGGAUAACUCCGGGAAACCGGGGCUAAUACCGGAUGAAACAAAGCGUCGCAUGACGCAAUGUUAAAAGGCGGCAUAUGCUGUCACUUACAGAUGGGCCCGCGGCGCAUUAGCUAGUUGGUGAGGUAAAGGCUCACCAAGGCAACGAUGCGUAGCCGACCUGAGAGGGUGAUCGGCCACACUGGGACUGAGACACGGCCCAGACUCCUACGGGAGGCAGCAGUAGGGAAUCUUCCGCAAUGGACGAAAGUCUGACGGAGCAACGCCGCGUGAGUGAUGAAGGUUUUCGGAUCGUAAAACUCUGUUGUUAGGGAAGAACAAGUGCCAUUCGAAUAGGUUGGCACCUUGACGGUACCUAACCAGAAAGCCCCGGCUAACUACGUGCCAGCAGCCGCGGUAAUACGUAGGGGGCAAGCGUUGUCCGGAAUUAUUGGGCGUAAAGCGCGCGCAGGCGGUCCUUUAAGUCUGAUGUGAAAGCCCACGGCUUAACCGUGGAGGGCCAUUGGAAACUGGA